GACGAACGCUGGCGGCGUGCUUAACACAUGCAAGUCGAACGCUGAAGCUCAGCUUUUGUUGGGUGGAUGAGUGGCGAACGGGUGAGUAACACGUGAGUAACCUGCCUCCUUCUUUGGGAUAACGCCCGGAAACGGGUGCUAAUACUGGAUAUUCACUGGUCUUCGCAUGGGGGUUGGUGGAAAGGGUUUUUCUGGUGGGGGAUGGGCUCGCGGCCUAUCAGCUUGUUGGUGGGGUGAUGGCCUACCAAGGCUUUGACGGGUAGCCGGCCUGAGAGGGUGACCGGUCACAUUGGGACUGAGAUACGGCCCAGACUCCUACGGGAGGCAGCAGUGGGGAAUAUUGCACAAUGGGCGCAAGCCUGAUGCAGCGACGCCGCGUGAGGGAUGGAGGCCUUCGGGUUGUGAACCUCUUUCGCUCGUGGUCAAGCCGCAACAAUGGUUGUGGUGAGGGUAGUGGGGAAAGAAGCGCCGGCUAACUACGU
RNAcentral lists this ribosomal RNA (482 nucleotides) under uncultured bacterium. RNAcentral describes it as "partial 16S ribosomal RNA". It matches the Rfam family "Bacterial small subunit ribosomal RNA", at positions 28 to 506 of the family's 1533-position model. The record is from RNAcentral.